GCUGCUGCCAGUGGAUAUAAAAUAAUCAUUGUUGUGAAAUAGAAAUUCAUGAAAAUUCAGAGAGGUAGAUGUUAAGGACUGACAAAAGCAGAAGUUUGUAUAGUAUGGCACAUGUUAUAGAAUAAGCUUUUUGUACAGGCUUCAGCUUUAGCUCUCUUUGAAUAUUCAC
Molecule: long non-coding RNA, 169 nt
Organism: Myotis brandtii (Brandt's bat)
Lineage: Eukaryota; Metazoa; Chordata; Mammalia; Chiroptera; Vespertilionidae
Exons: 3
Source: RefSeq, a predicted model, not a curated record